CGAACGGGUGAGUAACGCGUGAGGAACCUGCCUUUCAGUGGGGGACAACAGUUGGAAACGACUGCUAAUACCGCAUGACGCUUCUUGGGGGCAUCCCCGGGAAGUCAAAGAUUUAUUGCUGAAAGAUGGCCUCGCGUCUGAUUAGCUAGUUGGCGGGGUAACGGCCCACCAAGGCGACGAUCAGUAGCCGGUCUGAGAGGAUGAACGGCCACAUUGGGACUGAGAUACGGCCCAG
Molecule: ribosomal RNA, 235 nt
Filed under: uncultured Bacillota bacterium
Lineage: Bacteria; Bacillati; Bacillota
Description: uncultured Firmicutes bacterium partial 16S ribosomal RNA
Rfam family: Bacterial small subunit ribosomal RNA
Source: RNAcentral